Molecule: ribosomal RNA, 723 nt
Filed under: Lactiplantibacillus plantarum
Lineage: Bacteria; Bacillati; Bacillota; Bacilli; Lactobacillales; Lactobacillaceae
Description: bacterial SSU rRNA
Rfam family: Bacterial small subunit ribosomal RNA
Source: RNAcentral
AGCAACGCCGCGUGAGUGAAGAAGGGUUUCGGCUCGUAAAACUCUGUUGUUAAAGAAGAACAUAUCUGAGAGUAACUGUUCAGGUAUUGACGGUAUUUAACCAGAAAGCCACGGCUAACUACGUGCCAGCAGCCGCGGUAAUACGUAGGUGGCAAGCGUUGUCCGGAUUUAUUGGGCGUAAAGCGAGCGCAGGCGGUUUUUUAAGUCUGAUGUGAAAGCCUUCGGCUCAACCGAAGAAGUGCAUCGGAAACUGGGAAACUUGAGUGCAGAAGAGGACAGUGGAACUCCAUGUGUAGCGGUGAAAUGCGUAGAUAUAUGGAAGAACACCAGUGGCGAAGGCGGCUGUCUGGUCUGUAACUGACGCUGAGGCUCGAAAGUAUGGGUAGCAAACAGGAUUAGAUACCCUGGUAGUCCAUACCGUAAACGAUGAAUGCUAAGUGUUGGAGGGUUUCCGCCCUUCAGUGCUGCAGCUAACGCAUUAAGCAUUCCGCCUGGGGAGUACGGCCGCAAGGCUGAAACUCAAAGGAAUUGACGGGGGCCCGCACAAGCGGUGGAGCAUGUGGUUUAAUUCGAAGCUACGCGAAGAACCUUACCAGGUCUUGACAUACUAUGCAAAUCUAAGAGAUUAGACGUUCCCUUCGGGGACAUGGAUACAGGUGGUGCAUGGUUGUCGUCAGCUCGUGUCGUGAGAUGUUGGGUUAAGUCCCGCAACGAGCGCAACUC